This 497-nucleotide ribosomal RNA is filed under the name uncultured bacterium. Its description in RNAcentral is "partial 16S ribosomal RNA". It matches the Rfam family "Bacterial small subunit ribosomal RNA", at positions 28 to 507 of the family's 1533-position model. The record is from RNAcentral.
GAUGAACGCUGGCGGCGUGCCUAAUACAUGCAAGUCGAGCGAACAGACGAGGAGCUUGCUCCUUUGACGUUAGCGGCGGACGGGUGAGUAACACGUAGGUAACCUACCUAUAAGACUGGGAUAACUUCGGGAAACCGGAGCUAAUACCGGAUAAUAUUUCGAACCGCAUGGUUCGAUAGUGAAAGAUGGCUUUGCUAUCACUUCUAGAUGGACCUGCGCCGUAUUAGCUAGUUGGUAAGGUAACGGCUUACCAAGACAACGAUACGUAGCCGACCUGGGCGAUGGAUCGGACACAGUGGAAGUGAGUGACGGUCCAGACUCCUACGGGGGGCAGCAGUAGGGUAUCUUCCGCAGUGGGCGAAAGCCUGACGGAGCAACGCCGCGUGGGUGAUGAAGGUCUUCGGAUCGUAAAACUCUGUUAUUAGGGAAGAACAAACGUGUAAGUAACUGUGCACGUCUUGACGGUACCUGAUCAGAAAGCCACGGCUAACUACGUG